Molecule: long non-coding RNA, 638 nt
Filed under: Citrus maxima (pomelo)
Lineage: Eukaryota; Viridiplantae; Streptophyta; Magnoliopsida; Sapindales; Rutaceae
Description: long non-coding RNA (CMAX_LNC001080)
Source: RNAcentral
AAAUUUGCCAUUCGUUUUCUGCCAUUCGUUUUGUCCUCUUCGUUUUCGUCUUCCCCUCCUCUUCGUUUUCCUUAUCUGAACAACUGUUACAAUGAUACUUUCUAACCGAAAUGGACAAUUUUUUUUUUCAACCUUCCCUUUCUCUGUUCCAAGAAAGCCACCCAAAACUCCCAACAUAUUUCAUUUUACACCCCCAGAAUGAGUUUACAAACAAACCAUUGUAGUUACAAAGUGCUUUUACCUCUCUUUGUUCUUUGGAUUCUGCUUCAGCUGUACAAAAAGACUGACAAGCUAAUAACACUACAUAAGGGCUUUUUCUCAUGUUCCUUCUAAGAAGAAAGCCAGGAGCGGUAAAAAAAAAAAAAAAAAAAAAAAAAGUAGGGAAGUGAGAAAAUUACAGCUCAAGGGAAGUAAUUAAGUUACAGCUACAAUUAUAACAUUUGACUGUGAUGCUUCUUCUUCUUUUGUAUUCUUUCUUUCUUUCUUUAAUUUUCUUUUUUAACCUGUGGUCCAAACGUCUUCAACUACUUCGAAAAUUUUAAGAUUCGUACCUUAGCUUGUGCAAAUGCCGAAACUUAGUCUUAUGUCAGAAAAUAUUAACAGAUGCUGAAAAAUCGAAGAGGAAGAGCUAAGAAUAG